This 406-nucleotide ribosomal RNA is filed under the name uncultured bacterium. RNAcentral describes it as "partial 16S ribosomal RNA". It matches the Rfam family "Bacterial small subunit ribosomal RNA", at positions 29 to 526 of the family's 1533-position model. The record is from RNAcentral.
AUUGAACGCUGGCGGCAGGCCUAACACAUGCAAGUCGAACGAGUGGCGGACGGGUGAGUAAUGUCUGGGAAACUGCACGAUGGCGGGGGAUAACUACUGGAAACGGUAGCUAAUACCGCAUACCAUCGGAUGUGCCCAGAUGGGAUGAGCUCGUAGGGGGGGUAACGGCUCACCUAGGCGACGCUCCCCAGCUGGUCUGAGAGGAUGACCAGCCACACUGGAACGGAGACACGGGCCAUACUCCGACGGGAGGCAGGAGUGGGGAAUAUUGCACAAUGGGCGCAAGGCUGAUGCAGCCAUGCCGCGUGUAUGAAGAAGGCCUUCGGGUUGUAAAGUACUUUCAGCGAGGAGGCGUUACUCGCAGAAGAAGCACCGGCUAACUCCGUGCCAGCAGCCGCGGUAAUAC